AGUGAACGCUGGCGGUAGACCUAACACAUGCAAGUCGAACGGCAGCACAGUAAGAGCUUGCUCUUACGGGUGGCGAGUGGCGGACGGGUGAGGAAUACAUCGGAAUCUACUUUUUCGUGGGGGAUAACGUAGGGAAACUUACGCUAAUACCGCAUACGACCUACGGGUGAAAGCAGGGGAUCUUCGGACCUUGCGCGAUUGAAUGAGCCGAUGUCGGAUUAGCUAGUUGGCGGGGUAAAGGCCCACCAAGGCGACGAUCCGUAGCUGGUCUGAGAGGAUGAUCAGCCACACUGGAACUGAGACACGGUCCAGACUCCUACGGGAGGCAGCAGUGGGGAAUAUUGGACAAUGGGCGCGAGCCUGAUCCAGCCAUACCGCGUGGGUGGAGAAGGCCUUCGGGUUGUAAAGCCCUUUUGUUGGGAAAGAAAAGCAGCAGGUUAAUACCCCGCUGUUCUGACGGUACCCAAAGAAUAAGCACCGGCUAACUUCGUG
This 492-nucleotide ribosomal RNA is filed under the name uncultured bacterium. RNAcentral describes it as "partial 16S ribosomal RNA". It matches the Rfam family "Bacterial small subunit ribosomal RNA", at positions 29 to 507 of the family's 1533-position model. The record is from RNAcentral.